UUUAAAUGUGAAUUUUUAAACCAGGGUAGUAAUAGUUAUGUUCUUGAAACCCAAAGAAUUUGGCGGUGCUUUAGUCCUUUCAGAGGAAUCUGUCCCGUGAUCGACAUUCCACGAUAUGAUGUACUUACUUUUGUUUUCAGUUUGUAUACCUCCGUCGUAAGAGAAUCUUUUCAGAGUUAAAUUUUCUUAAUAUACUAAAUUUAUUAUGUCAGGUCAAGGUGCAAUUUAUGAGUAAGUGGAGAUGGAUUACAAUAAGUUUAUUUAAACGAAUUAGAAUAUUUAAUUUUCUAUGAAGGUGGAUUUGAUUGUAAUUUUAAUUGUUUAUUAUUAUGAUUAAUGGCUCUAAAGCAUGC
Molecule: ribosomal RNA, 353 nt
Filed under: Crenigomphus renei
Lineage: Eukaryota; Metazoa; Arthropoda; Insecta; Odonata; Gomphidae
Description: partial 12S ribosomal RNA
Source: RNAcentral